UGGAUUUAGCGGCGGACGGGUGAGUAACACGUAGGCAACCUGCCCCUUAGACUGGGAUAACUACCGGAAACGGUAGCUAAUACCGGAUAAUUUCUUUUUUCACCUGAAAGAAGAAUGAAAGAUGGAGCAAUCUAUCACUAAAGGAUGGGCCUGCGGCGCAUUAGCUAGUUGGUGAGGUAACGGCUCACCAAGGCGACGAUGCGUAGCCGACCUGAGAGGGUGAACGGCCACACUGGGACUGAGACACGGCCCAGACUCCUACGGGAGGCAGCAGUAGGGAAUCUUCCGCAAUGGGCGAAAGCCUGACGGAGCAAUGCCGCGUGAGUGAUGAAGGUUUUCGGAUCGUAAAGCUCUGUUGCCAGGGAAGAAUGUCUCAUAGAGUAACUGCUAUGAGAGUGACGGUACCUGAGAAGAAAGCCCCGGCUAACUACGUGCCAGCAGCCGCGGUAAUACGUAGGGGGCAAGCGUUGUCCGGAAUUAUUGGGCGUAAAGCGCGCGCAGGCGGCUAUUUAAGUCUGGUGUUUAAACCUUGGGCUCAACCUGAGGUCGCACUGGAAACUGGGUGGCUUGAGUACAGAAGAGGAAAGUGGAAUUCCACGUGUAGCGGUGAAAUGCGUAGAUAUGUGGAGGAACACCAGUGGCGAAGGCGACUUUCUGGGCUGUAACUGACGCUGAGGCGCGAAAGCGUGGGGAGCAAACAGGAUUAGAUACCCUGGUAGUCCACGCCGUAAACGAUGAGU
Molecule: ribosomal RNA, 740 nt
Filed under: Paenibacillus sp. P3
Lineage: Bacteria; Bacillati; Bacillota; Bacilli; Caryophanales; Paenibacillaceae
Description: bacterial SSU rRNA
Rfam family: Bacterial small subunit ribosomal RNA
Source: RNAcentral